GUGCCAGACUCCUACGGGAGGCAGCAGUGGGGAAUAUUGCACAAUGGGGGAAACCCUGAUGCAGCGACGCCGCGUGAAGGACGAAGUAUUUCGGUCCGUAAACUUCUAUCAGCAGGGAAGAAAAUGACGGUACCUGACCAAGAAGCCCCGGCUAACUACGUGCCAGCAGCCGCGGUAAUACGUAGGGGGUAAGCGUUAUCCGGAUUUAUUGGGUGUAAAGGGAGCGUAGACGGCCAUGCAAGUCUGAUGUGAAAACCCGGGGCUCAACCCCGGGACUGCAUUGGAAACUGUGCGGCUGGAGUGUCGGAGAGGCAAGUGGAAUUCCUAGUGUAGCGGUGAAAUGCGUAGAUAUUAGGAGGAACACCAGUGGCGAAGGCGGCUUACUGGACUGUAACUGACGUUGAGGCUCGAAAGCGUGGGGAGCAAACAGGAUUAGAUACCCCAGUAC
This 448-nucleotide ribosomal RNA is filed under the name uncultured bacterium. Its description in RNAcentral is "bacterial SSU rRNA". It matches the Rfam family "Bacterial small subunit ribosomal RNA", at positions 328 to 793 of the family's 1533-position model. The record is from RNAcentral.